This 345-nucleotide ribosomal RNA is filed under the name Listeria monocytogenes. Its description in RNAcentral is "partial 23S ribosomal RNA". It matches the Rfam family "Bacterial large subunit ribosomal RNA", at positions 1 to 338 of the family's 2925-position model. Lineage: Bacteria; Bacillati; Bacillota; Bacilli; Caryophanales; Listeriaceae. The record is from RNAcentral.
AGUAAAUUGGUUAAGUUAGAAAGGGCGCACGGUGGAUGCCUUGGCACUAGGAGCCGAAGAAGGACGGGACUAACACCGAUAUGCUUUGGGGAGCUGUACGUAAGCGUUGAUCCAGAGAUUUCCGAAUGGGGGAACCCACUAUCUUUAGUCGGAUAGUAUCCUUACGUGAAUACAUAGCGUGAGGAAGGCAGACCCAGGGAACUGAAACAUCUAAGUACCUGGAGGAAGAGAAAGAAAAAUCGAUUUCCUGAGUAGCGGCGAGCGAAACGGAAAGAGCCCAAACCAAGAAGCUUGCUUCUUGGGGUUGUAGGACACUCUAUACGGAGUUACAAAAGAAAGUUAUAA